This 465-nucleotide ribosomal RNA is filed under the name uncultured bacterium. RNAcentral describes it as "partial 16S ribosomal RNA". It matches the Rfam family "Bacterial small subunit ribosomal RNA", at positions 28 to 507 of the family's 1533-position model. The record is from RNAcentral.
GACGAACGCUGGCGGCGUGCUUAACACAUGCAAGUCGAACGGAAAGGCCCCUUUGGGGGUACUCGAGUGGCGAACGGGUGAGUAACACGUGAGUAACCUGCCCUUGACUUCGGGAUAACUUCAGGAAACUGGGGCUAAUACCGGAUAGGAAUCCUUGCUGCAUGGUGGGGGUUGGAAAGCUUCGGGGGUUUUGGAUGGACUCGCGGCUUAUCAGCUUGUUGGUGGGGUAGUGGCUUACCAAGGCUUUGACGGGUAGCCGGCCUGGGAGGGCGACCGGCCACAUUGGGACUGAGAGACGGCCCAGACUCCUACGGGAGGCAGCAGUGGGGAAUAUUGCACAAGGGGCGGAAGCCUGAUGCAGCAACGCCGCGUGCGGGAUGACGGCCUUCGGGUUGUAAACCGCUUUCAGCAGGGGCGAAGCUUGUGGUGACGGUACCUGCAGAAGAAGCACCGGCUAACUACGUG